Molecule: non-coding RNA, 48 nt
Filed under: Trichobilharzia regenti
Lineage: Eukaryota; Metazoa; Platyhelminthes; Trematoda; Strigeidida; Schistosomatidae
Source: RNAcentral
AUCCAGAAGACGAGUCCGAAACAGGACGAAAUGCGCGUUAUCCUGGAU